GAUGAACGCUGGCGGCGUGCCUAAUACAUGCAAGUCGAGCGAACGGACGAGAAGCUUGCUUCUCUGAUGUUAGCGGCGGACGGGUGAGUAACACGUGGAUAACCUACCUAUAAGACUGGGAUAACUUCGGGAAACCGGAGCUAAUACCGGAUAAUAUUUUGAACCGCAUGGUUCAAAAGUGAAAGACGGCCUUGCUGUCACUUAUAGAUGGAUCCGCGCUGCAUUAGCUAGUUGGUAAGGUAACGGCUUACCAAGGCAACGAUGCAUAGCCGACCUGAGAGGGUGAUCGGCCACACUGGAACUGAGACACGGUCCAGACUCCUACGGGAGGCAGCAGUAGGGAAUCUUCCGCAAUGGGCGAAAGCCUGACGGAGCAACGCCGCGUGAGUGAUGAAGGUCUUCGGAUCGUAAAACUCUGUUAUUAGGGAAGAACAUAUGUGUAAGUAACUGUGCACAUCUUGACGGUACCUAAUCAGAAAGCCACGGCUAACUACGUGCCAGCAGCCGCGGUAAUACGUAGGUGGCAAGCGUUAUCCGGAAUUAUUGGGCGUAAAGCGCGCGUAGGCGGUUUUUUAAGUCUGAUGUGAAAGCCCACGGCUCAACCGUGGAGGGUCAUUGGAAACUGGAAAACUUGAGUGCAGAAGAGGAAAGUGGAAUUCCAUGUGUAGCGGUGAAAUGCGCAGAGAUAUGGAGGAACACCAGUGGCGAAGGCGACUUUCAGGUCUGUAACUGACGCUGAUGUGCGAAAGCGUGGGGAUCAAACAGGAUUAGAUACCCUGGUAGUCCACGCCGUAAACGAUGAGUGCUAAGUGUUAGGGGGUUUCCGCCCCUUAGUGCUGCAGCUAACGCAUUAAGCACUCCGCCUGGGGAGUACGACCGCAAGGUUGAAACUCAAAGGAAUUGACGGGGACCCGCACAAGCGGUGGAGCAUGUGGUUUAAUUCGAAGCAACGCGAAGAACCUUACCAAAUCUUGACAUCCUCUGACCCCUCUAGAGAUAGAGUUUUCCCCUUCGGGGGACAGAGUGACAGGUGGUGCAUGGUUGUCGUCAGCUCGUGUCGUGAGAUGUUGGGUUAAGUCCCGCAACGAGCGCAACCCUUAAGCUUAGUUGCCAUCAUUAAGUUGGGCACUCUAAGUUGACUGCCGGUGACAAACCGGAGGAAGGUGGGGAUGACGUCAAAUCAUCAUGCCCCUUAUGAUUUGGGCUACACACGUGCUACAAUGGACAAUACAAAGGGUAGCGAAACCGCGAGGUCAAGCAAAUCCCAUAAAGUCGUUCUCAGUUCGGAUUGUAGUCUGCAACUCGACUAUAUGAAGCUGGAAUCGCUAGUAAUCGUAGAUCAGCAUGCUACGGUGAAUACGUUCCCGGGUCU
RNAcentral lists this ribosomal RNA (1372 nucleotides) under uncultured bacterium. RNAcentral's name for it is "bacterial SSU rRNA". It matches the Rfam family "Bacterial small subunit ribosomal RNA", at positions 28 to 1381 of the family's 1533-position model. The record is from RNAcentral.